This 544-nucleotide ribosomal RNA is filed under the name uncultured archaeon. RNAcentral's name for it is "bacterial SSU rRNA". It matches the Rfam family "Archaeal small subunit ribosomal RNA", at positions 326 to 870 of the family's 1478-position model. The record is from RNAcentral.
CGGGGUGCACCAGGCGCGAAAACUUUACAAUGCGGGAAACCGUGAUAAGGGGACACCGAGUGCCAGCAUCAUAUGCUGGCUGUCCAGGUGUGUAAAAUACACCUGUCAGCAAGGGCCGGGCAAGACCGGUGCCAGCCGCCGCGGUAACACCGGCGGCCCGAGUGGUGAUCGUGAUUAUUGGGUCUAAAGGGUCCGUAGCCGGUUUGGUCAGUCCUCCGGGAAAUCUGACGGCUCAACCGUUUGGCUUUCGGGGGAUACUGCCAGGCUUGGAACCGGGAGAGGUAAGAGGUACUACAGGGGUAGGAGUGAAAUCUUGUAAUCCCUGUGAGACCACCUGUGGCGAAGGCGUCUUACCAGAACGGGUUCGACGGUGAGGGACGAAAACUGGGGGCACGAACCGGAUUAGAUACCCGGGUAGUCCCAGCCGUAAACGAUGCUCGCUAGGUGUCAGGCAUGGCGCGACCGUGUCUGGUGCCGCAGGGAAGCCGUGAAGCGAGCCACCUGGGAAGUACGGCCGCAAGGCUGAAACUUAAAGGAAUUGGCG